ACGAAUAUGUUGAAAUUGGUAGACAAUCUUUUCUUAAGCAAAAGUGGGAGUGAUCCCUUAAGAGUUCGAGUCUCUUUAUUCGUA
Molecule: transfer RNA, 84 nt
Filed under: Laccaria bicolor
Lineage: Eukaryota; Fungi; Basidiomycota; Agaricomycetes; Agaricales; Hydnangiaceae
Also listed under: 1 other name
Description: tRNA-Leu
Rfam family: tRNA
About the family: Transfer RNA (tRNA) molecules are approximately 80 nucleotides in length. Their secondary structure includes four short double-helical elements and three loops (D, anti-codon, and T loops). Further hydrogen bonds mediate the characteristic L-shaped molecular structure. tRNAs have two regions of fundamental functional importance: the anti-codon, which is responsible for specific mRNA codon recognition, and the 3' end, to which the tRNAs corresponding amino acid is attached (by aminoacyl-tRNA synthetases). tRNAs cope with the degeneracy of the genetic code in two manners: having more than one tRNA (with a specific anti-codon) for a particular amino acid; and 'wobble' base-pairing, i.e. permitting non-standard base-pairing at the 3rd anti-codon position.
Source: RNAcentral